CGGACGGGUGAGUAACACGUGGGUAACCUGCCUGUAAGACUGGGAUAACUCCGGGAAACCGGAGCUAAUACCGGAUAGUUCCUUGAACCGCAUGGUUCAAGGAUGAAAGACGGUUUCGGCUGUCACUUACAGAUGGACCCGCGGCGCAUUAGCUAGUUGGUGGGGUAAUGGCUCACCAAGGCGACGAUGCGUAGCCGACCUGAGAGGGUGAUCGGCCACACUGGGACUGAGACACGGCCCAGACUCCUACGGGAGGCAGCAGUAGGGAAUCUUCCGCAAUGGACGAAAGUCUGACGGAGCAACGCCGCGUGAGUGAUGAAGGUUUUCGGAUCGUAAAGCUCUGUUGUUAGGGAAGAACAAGUGCGAGAGUAACUGCUCGCACCUUGACGGUACCUAACCAGAAAGCCACGGCUAACUACGUGCCAGCAGCCGCGGUAAUACGUAGGUGGCAAGCGUUGUCCGGAAUUAUUGGGCGUAAAGGGCUCGCAGGCGGUUUCUUAAGUCUGAUGUGAAAGCCCCCGGCUCAACCGGGGAGGGUCAUUGGAAACUGGGAAACUUGAG
This 561-nucleotide ribosomal RNA is filed under the name Bacillus sp. 13545. Its description in RNAcentral is "bacterial SSU rRNA". It matches the Rfam family "Bacterial small subunit ribosomal RNA", at positions 99 to 646 of the family's 1533-position model. The record is from RNAcentral. Lineage: Bacteria; Bacillati; Bacillota; Bacilli; Caryophanales; Bacillaceae.